RNAcentral lists this ribosomal RNA (445 nucleotides) under uncultured bacterium. Its description in RNAcentral is "partial 16S ribosomal RNA". It matches the Rfam family "Bacterial small subunit ribosomal RNA", at positions 354 to 796 of the family's 1533-position model. The record is from RNAcentral.
GUGAGGAAUAUUGGUCAAUGGACGAAAGUCUGAACCAGCCAUGCCGCGUGAAGGAUGAAGGCCCUCUGGGUUGUAAACUUCUUUUAUCUGGGACGAAAAAAGGGUAUUCUUACUCACUUGACGGUACCAGAGGAAUAAGCACCGGCUAACUCCGUGCCAGCAGCCGCGGUAAUACGGAGGGUGCAAGCGUUAUCCGGAUUCACUGGGUUUAAAGGGUGCGUAGGUGGGUAUUUAAGUCAGUGGUGAAAUCUCCGAGCUUAACUCGGAAACUGCCAUUGAUACUAUUUACCUUGAAUGCCCUGGAGGUAAGCGGAAUAUGUCAUGUAGCGGUGAAAUGCUUAGAUAUGACAUAGAACACCAAUUGCGAAGGCAGCUUACUACGGGGUGAUUGACACUGAGGCACGAAAGCGUGGGGAGCAAACAGGAUUAGAAACCCUUGUAGUCC